This 957-nucleotide long non-coding RNA is filed under the name Lathyrus oleraceus (garden pea). RNAcentral's name for it is "Pisum sativum (pea) long non-coding RNA (PSAT_LNC021359)". The record is from RNAcentral. Lineage: Eukaryota; Viridiplantae; Streptophyta; Magnoliopsida; Fabales; Fabaceae.
AUUUGUAUAUAAAAUCAAACAAAUAUUAAAUACAUAUUAUUCGUGUCUUUCUUAAUACAAAAUCCUAAAAUUAAAAACAACCCAUACCAUUUUACAAAACAAUGCAUAACAAAAUUAAUAUUAUAUUUGAUCGGGUCCAAAUUUCAACUAAUCAAAUAUUUACCAUCCGAUCUGGCCGCUCAUACCCACUAAUAUCCAAUUGAAUGACCCAUGAAUAUCCGUAAUUCGAAGAAAACGAUUGUCCACCUCUACUAACAUGAUUCAAUUUUAAGAAUUAAGGGAAUAAAACCGUGUUUAAAAAAAAUUAAAGAAUGAAGUUAGACAUAGAUACAAAAUAAGAAAAAAAGAGUAUUAAAACCUUAAAACUAGUUUGAACAUUAAACAACUCGUAAACGAUUGUCCACCUCUACUAACAUGAUUCAAUUUUAAGAAUUAAGGGAAUAAAACCGUGUUUAAAAAAAUUAAAGAAAGAAGUUAGACAUCGAUACAAAAUAAGAAAAAAAGAGUAUUAAAACCUUAAAACUAGUUUGAACACUAAACAAAAUAAACUAUGUAAACAUGAUUAAAGUCCAAUUUGUGUCAUUAGUACAAUAAAAUAAAUAGGUAAAAUACUUUUUUUUUAAUCUUUUAACUAUAUACGAGUUCAAAUUAAUUCCUUAAUAUUUUUGUUUUAAUAGUUAAAUGAUUAGUUUCACAUUUUUUGUUUGUUUUAAAAGCUAAAUGAUUAAUCAAGAAAAAAUAAUUAAAGGACUAAGUAGGAUACUUAAGUGAAAAAAGAAGUUCUUUUUGAGACUUUUUUCCCAUAUGCCCCAAAAUUGAAAAUAAAUUUCCACUUUGUCCCACACUGAAUUUUUUUUCCCAAUCUGCCCCCUUUUUCUUAUUGGGCUCGUCCAUCCAUUGGACGAGGGCAUGAAGGCCCAUUGCGCCUUGCGUUGGCUCGACCAAUCAAUGGCCGAG